Long non-coding RNA from Pangasianodon hypophthalmus (striped catfish), 2017 nucleotides. RefSeq lists it as uncharacterized. The transcript is spliced from 4 exons. The record is from RefSeq and is a predicted model, not a curated record. Lineage: Eukaryota; Metazoa; Chordata; Actinopteri; Siluriformes; Pangasiidae.
CAUGUCAUAUUUUGCAGCUGGUAAGGUGGAAAAUCUCAAGCCUGUCAAACAGCACAUUUUCUGGAAAAAAAACUGAGAUACUCCAGUCUCAGGUGGAAGAGCUGGAGGAGGAAAAUGGCUUACUCAAGAAGCAGCUUGAAGAGACGUCUGCACAAGAGCAAGGCAAUGGGAGCAGUGCAUGCAUUUUACCUGGGCAAAGGCACGGAGGAGAUGGGAACAUGGAGAUAAUGGACACUGGAGAUGAGGAGCCACAAGCCAAGAAGUUGGACUCCAGCACUGACUCCAUCACUGAUUCAAGCUCUGAUUCCAGCUCAGGCUCUACCUCUGUCUCUUCUGAUGAGGAAAAGAAGAAAAAGAAGCAUAAAAAGAAGAAGGACGAGAAGAGAAGCAAGAAUAGAAAGAAGGAAAUCAAAAAGGCAAAGAGGUCAAAAGGACAAGGAGCAUGAGUUGCUACCAUCUCAGAAGUGGUGAGAAGAUAUCAGCGGAUCCUCAAACCUGUGCAGAGAGGCUUCAGGAUGACCGCUUUCAAGAAAGCUCGAGUUUAAAAAAAUGCUGUGAAAGACACGGCAGCAAUUGCAGAGACACUUUUAGAUAGUGGACAGAAGUGUCCUAGACCAGUUCAGUGGUAAAUACAGACUUUUGAAACUAGCCCAAGUUUGUCAGAAAAAAAAAGUGGCAGAAAAGAUCAUUGAAAUGAAAAGCAACAACCAGCUCAUCCCCUUUACUGUCAAGAAAUACUGAACAAGAUAGCUAAAAGUUAUUUUCUUUUUUGAGGGGAGGUGGCACUGUUUUUAAAGGUCAAUCUUGGCCUCAGCAUAGGGCAAUAAUUUAAAAUGUUCUUUCACUGUUAUACAGUUGGUCAAGUUUGUCCCCCCCAUAUCUUCCUAGGGAGAAACUGCAAUUAUUUGUAGUUAAUUGAACUGUAAAAGAAUUCUGUGCUGCCAGUGUAGUGAUUUUUUUUUUUGGACAGGUAUUGACUACCUGAGAGAAUUUUCUUAUUUUGAUAUUCGCAACAAACUUUGAAAUGGUCAAUAUAAAGUUUGUCACACAUAAUCAGACUGUUCAGAUGUGCUGCUGAUGGCCUAGAGAAGAAUGGUUUGUAUUAAUGUGUUUUGGACUCAAUAUUAGAAUAUAUCAGUUGAGCGCCCACCUACAGUAUAUCUAUGAUUGGAUAAUAAAAGAUGACCCCUCCAUUUGGUUAGAUAUCAAAACGUACUUAUCUAAAUAUCCAUUGCAAGACUUAUUAUUCUUUAAAAGUCUUAAGGAUAUAAAUGGAAGCUGUGUUAAUCCUGUCACACUCAAUACAUGGCAGUUAGCUAGGCUACAGAGGGCAGGUCCAAGUUUACCUUCUGAGAAAGGCUGGCAAAAAAGUAUUAAUUGAGCUAGUACCACUGGAAUACCUUACAUGUAUUUCUCACUCCAAAACUGAUUAUUUUUUAUAAAGUACGGGAACCAUUUUUAAAGUACUUGGAUCUCGGUGUCUCAGCUAUUAUGCUGCAUGAAUUUCAAUGAUUGAGACCAUGCAUACCACCCCUUAGGCUAGUGUGAAGUAUGCUUUUGUAUUCUGAAACUGUUUUAACAACUGAAAUGAGCUGUCUUUUUUUAUUUUUUAAAUUUAUUUUAUUUUUUUAUUCUAUUUUCUGAUUAAUGAAUGUUCUCUUUUUUGUGGUUGUUGUUCGUUAAUUGGUGAAAAUCCAAUAAAUAUACUAUUAAAAAAAAAAACCUUGCUGAGCUUUGCCAGCUAGCUAGAUAACUACCUAACACUAGAUGAACAAGAAGUUCAGGGAUAGCAGGUAAAUGCUCAUUCAAACAUUAGGUAACAUGUUGAAUUGUAACAUACCAUGAAGCUUACAUGGCUGAUAAAAACUAUAUUGUUGGUCAGUCUAGUGGCUCUCUGUUUGUGUGUGCAUUGCAACCAAUAUUAAGUAGAUUAGAAGCGUUUGAAAUGGAUUUUGCAGGUAAAUGAACGAACUGUGACUUUUGUGAUAUACUGCAUUUGACCGUGGAGUAUUAUGUA